RNAcentral lists this ribosomal RNA (251 nucleotides) under uncultured bacterium. Its description in RNAcentral is "partial 16S ribosomal RNA". It matches the Rfam family "Bacterial small subunit ribosomal RNA", at positions 94 to 339 of the family's 1533-position model. The record is from RNAcentral.
AGCGGCAGACGAGUGAGUAACACGUAAACAAUCUACCCACGAAUGGCGAAUAACCCACCGAAAGGCGGGCUAAUGCGCCGUAUUCUCCCUGGAAGGCAUCUUCCGGGGAGGAGAGACCCGCAAGGGUCGUUCAUGGAGGAGUUUGCGGCCCAUCAGCUAGUUGGCGGUGUAACGGACCACCAAGGCUACGACGGGUACCCGGGCUGAAAGGCCGGACGGGCACGAUGGCACUGAGACACGGGCCAUACUCC